Brassica napus (rape) is the source of this 1757-nucleotide long non-coding RNA. RefSeq lists it as uncharacterized. Lineage: Eukaryota; Viridiplantae; Streptophyta; Magnoliopsida; Brassicales; Brassicaceae. The transcript has 5 exons. The record is from RefSeq and is a predicted model, not a curated record.
UGUUUGAUAACGACGUCUGAGCUUCAUCUUCAUCGCCGAAACGCUUCCAGUUACAAAAUCUUUGCAUUAAACCCCUUCUUAAAUCCACAACUAUGGUGCAGGCUUCCAUGCAAAUUUUCUGUGUGACGGUGUAUCUGCGAUUAUAAAAAGAUUAGCCUUUCUCCUCUGAAACCCAUCUUCUCAGUCCGUCAAAAAAAAAACGAAGUCAUCCAUCUUUCUCUCUGAUUCGAAGAUCGCACGCUGCUCCUCCACCGAUUGAGAUGCUGAAGUCGAUGACAAAGAGUGGAACUUGAAUUGAGAUUUGUCGAUUUUCUCAAAUAAUUGCAAAGAAUCACCUUCAGGAAGCGAUCAGACUACUCCGUCUCCUCCAUGAACACACUGGUUGGAGCUGAGGCUAACCACAACUUGAAUAGCCAAGUGAACUCCAUAACCGUGGGAUGCUGGGAGCUCAACACGCUCUUGACCCAUUGACCACAGUGAAGGCAUGCGUGAACAAUGCAGGUAUAGCACUGAUCCAACACGGGUGGCAUCCAAUGUCGUUCAUCACCAUCUCUGGAGAGAUUGACUCUAGGGCGAUUGAGAAGAGUUCUAUGAUCACUGGUUCUUGGUGGUCUCUCUGAGAAAUAUCAUGGCUUAUAAAACUUCUGGGUGGUUGAUGGAAUCAACGAUAUCGAUGUGGAGACAUUGCGGAUAUUGAUGGUUUGAAGAUGCAUUAGUGUGAGCUUUGAUAUGGAGCUUUUUGGAUCAAACUCUUCUGAUGAGCAGCUUACCGGAGUUAGGAUUCUUAGACAAUUUGCAGUCAAUGAAUGGUAUUCGGGUGAGACACUUGAGAAGAUCAUUAUCAACGUCCCUGUUGUUGAAAGGUCGGUGGAGAUGCUGAAGUGAAAAGAUCUGCAAAAAGAAGAGAUUAGGAGAUCAGCUGCUGAUAUACUAUCAAAACUCGCUAGCAAACAGCAGAACUCUUUAAGAGUCGCUGGGAUAUCUGGUGCAAUGGAAACUAUUUUUUCGUUAUUAGAGAGCACGAGAUCAUCAGGUGAAGCGCCUGAUGAGAUUGGAGAGAAAAGUGUUCCGUGACUCUAAUCUACACUAUGACUUCUGUAGAUUCAACAGUUUGGGACUCUUGAUCCUGAAGAAGCUAGCGAAAGAUCAUGAUAACUGUGGAAACCUCGGCAACACAAGGGGUUUUCUCCCGAGGAUUAUUGAUUUCACGCACGUGGACCAAGUUCAAUUGUGGGAUGAGAACGCAGACGUUACCAGGUCACAGGUCCUAGAAACGGUCGUGCAGCUGGUGAAAAUGUUAGUCAGCACGACUGAGAACACAUGGAAGUGUCUCAGGAGGGAGAUCUCAGAGAUUGUUUUUACGGUGAGCAACGGGAGGGAUGUGCUGAGACACGGAAGCUCGAGAGAGAAUUGAUGGAACGGUGGUGUUUUGAAAGAGCUGUUCAACAUUUUCUAACAUAUGGAGACGAUGGGAAUCAGGGAUCUGUGAGGAUCGCUGCAGGAAGACUCGUGGAAGCACUUGAAGUUCCAUCGAUCUGUGUCAAUGUUGCAAGUUUAUAAUAGAGUGGCUAUUCUCAGAUGUUCCAGAUAAAAGAUGGUCAUAUCAGUAAGAAGAAGAAGAAAAAAGACAACUGACAAAUAUUUUACAAACUACAUAUGUAGCUUCGUGUAAAUGUAAUUGAAGGUUAAUAUCAUCAUGUAAGUGCUAAUCCUUUAUCAACCAUAGUUGAGAAAUAAGUAUAAGUUCAUUGAUUGCA